ACACAUAUCCGGUUCCAUCUGUCCAUCAACCAGCUUUCCCUAUACUAUGCCGUUUGGGGGGGGGGAAUACACAUAAAUAUGGAACUAUGACUCUUCGAACCCAUUAUCUCUUUCCCUUAAUCCUAAUAUCACUUUCGUCUUGUGAUCGUAGAGAAUAAACCCAAAUUAUUUGUAGUCAACCGAGAUAUACACCUGUUUACCAGGUGAGUUAUAGUCCAUUGUUACCAAUCCAAGCCACGAGUCAGCAGGCUACAAGGUAUGCAAGUUGACUAUAUCUUGGUGGCCUUCCACCAUUGGCUAAUGAGUAGAAUGUAGCAUAUCGAUCGUCGGAGGCAUGAAGAUGUUGCAUCUUCAUAUACAGCAACAAAACACUACAGCAUUGAGGAUGAUUAAGUAGAGGAACAUCCCAAGAUACUAUUUCAGAUUCCAAGUAAGACAAGAAGCUUCAUUCAGUUUUCUGUGAGACAGUGAAGUAUGGUGUAGGCCUUGGUCGUAAUUUAUAUGACAUCAUAUUCUAUUUCUUACGUCCCAGCACUCUGAAGAAAAAAAAAUGAUAGUCAGUUUGUAAUCGGGAAAUUUUUUGAAUUUUACAUAUCACAAAACAUCAUAGGUAUUGUAUUGCUGCUGUUAUGAAUCUAUAUGCAUAUAUAAGUUAAUAUUUGUUCAUCGCUUCAAAUGAAGCUUAUGAGUAUGCAAUUUUCUCUCAA
This is a long non-coding RNA of Olea europaea var. sylvestris, 707 nucleotides long. RefSeq lists it as uncharacterized. The record is from RefSeq and is a predicted model, not a curated record. NCBI's taxonomy places the organism in Eukaryota, Viridiplantae, Streptophyta, Magnoliopsida, Lamiales, Oleaceae. The transcript has 5 exons.